RNAcentral lists this long non-coding RNA (208 nucleotides) under Elaeis guineensis (African oil palm). Its description in RNAcentral is "long non-coding RNA (EGUI_LNC041348)". The record is from RNAcentral. Lineage: Eukaryota; Viridiplantae; Streptophyta; Magnoliopsida; Arecales; Arecaceae.
UGGCUAAAAACCACUGAUCAAUGGUGGAGAAAAAUGCCACCUAGUGAAGCCUCACGAUGCAUCAAAGAAAUAUCAAAAAAAUUAUUUCGAAGAGUCUUUCUGUGUGAAGCAACUCUUGGAUUUUUUUUUCGAUAUUUGCCAUGUAUCAAAUGCUUCUAGAUGGAUGUGGAAAUUUGACUUGGGGCAUGAGAUAAUCUGGAUGGGCAUG